This 1435-nucleotide ribosomal RNA is filed under the name uncultured organism. RNAcentral describes it as "SSU rRNA". It matches the Rfam family "Bacterial small subunit ribosomal RNA". The record is from RNAcentral.
UCUACAGGCUUAACACAUGCAAGUCGAGGGGCAGCAUGGUCUUAGCUUGCUAAGGCCGAUGGCGACCGGCGCACGGGUGAGUAACACGUAUCCAACCUGCCGUCUACUCUUGGACAGCCUUCUGAAAGGAAGAUUAAUACAAGAUGGCAUCAUGAGUCCGCAUGUUCACAUGAUUAAAGGUAUUCCGGUAGACGAUGGGGAUGCGUUCCAUUAGAUAGUAGGCGGGGUAACGGCCCACCUAGUCUUCGAUGGAUAGGGGUUCUGAGAGGAAGGUCCCCCACAUUGGAACUGAGACACGGUCCAAACUCCUACGGGAGGCAGCAGUGAGGAAUAUUGGUCAAUGGGCGAGAGCCUGAACCAGCCAAGUAGCGUGAAGGAUGACUGCCCUAUGGGUUGUAAACUUCUUUUAUAAAGGAAUAAAGUCGGGUAUGCAUACCCGUUUGCAUGUACUUUAUGAAUAAGGAUCGGCUAACUCCGUGCCAGCAGCCGCGGUAAUACGGAGGAUCCGAGCGUUAUCCGGAUUUAUUGGGUUUAAAGGGAGCGUAGAUGGAUGUUUAAGUCAGUUGUGAAAGUUUGCGGCUCAACCGUAAAAUUGCAGUUGAUACUGGAUAUCUUGAGUGCAGUUGAGGCAGGCGGAAUUCGUGGUGUAGCGGUGAAAUGCUUAGAUAUCACGAAGAACUCCGAUUGCGAAGGCAGCCUGCUAAGCUGCAACUGACAUUGAGGCUCGAAAGUGUGGGUAUCAAACAGGAUUAGAUACCCUGGUAGUCCACACGGUAAACGAUGAAUACUCGCUGUUUGCGAUAUACAGCAAGCGGCCAAGCGAAAGCGUUAAGUAUUCCACCUGGGGAGUACGCCGGCAACGGUGAAACUCAAAGGAAUUGACGGGGGCCCGCACAAGCGGAGGAACAUGUGGUUUAAUUCGAUGAUACGCGAGGAACCUUACCCGGGCUUAAAUUGCAGAUGAAUUACGGUGAAAGCCGUAAGCCGCAAGGCAUCUGUGAAGGUGCUGCAUGGUUGUCGUCAGCUCGUGCCGUGAGGUGUCGGCUUAAGUGCCAUAACGAGCGCAACCCUUGUUGUCAGUUACUAACAGGUUCCGCUGAGGACUCUGACAAGACUGCCAUCGUAAGAUGUGAGGAAGGUGGGGAUGACGUCAAAUCAGCACGGCCCUUACGUCCGGGGCUACACACGUGUUACAAUGGGGGGUACAGAGGGCCGCUACCACGCGAGUGGAUGCCAAUCCCCAAAACCUCUCUCAGUUCGGACUGGAGUCUGCAACCCGACUCCACGAAGCUGGAUUCGCUAGUAAUCGCGCAUCAGCCACGGCGCGGUGAAUACGUUCCCGGGCCUUGUACACACCGCCCGUCAAGCCAUGGGAGCCGGGGGUACCUGAAGUGCGUAACCGCGAGGAGCGCCCUAGGGUAAAACUGGUGACUGG